Long non-coding RNA from Mytilus californianus (California mussel), 600 nucleotides. RefSeq lists it as uncharacterized. The record is from RefSeq and is a predicted model, not a curated record. Lineage: Eukaryota; Metazoa; Mollusca; Bivalvia; Mytilida; Mytilidae. The transcript is spliced from 8 exons.
CAGAUAGACUAGAUAUGUUACCCUCCUAGACAAUGAAGAUGCUUUCAUGGUAUACAGCACACGAAGAUUUGUAUCAUAUAACGCCUAAAUAUGUUGCACUCUUCGACAAUGAAAAUGGUUUCAUUGUAGAUAGCACAUUAGGAUGUCACAUAUACUGCCUAAAUAUGUAAGACUCCUAUACCAUGAAAGAUGCUUCCAUUGCAGAUAGCACAUUAGGAUUAGUCACAUAUACAGCCUAAAUAUGUAAGACUCCUAUACCAUGAAAGAUGCUUCCAUUGCAGAUGCACAUUAGGAUAAGUCACAUAUUAUACAGCCUUAAUAUGUAACACUCCUAUACCAUGAAAGAUGCUUUCACACAUUAGGAUGUUGCACAUAUACAUCAAAAUAUGUUGCACUCCUAGACAGAGAAGAUGGAUUCAUGGCAGAUAGGAAGAGUCAACAUAUACAGCCCAGAUAUGUUCCACUCCUACCCAAUGAAUAUGGUUUCAUGGUAGAUGCACAUUAGGAUGUUUAACAUAUACAGCCGAAAUAUGUUACACUCCUAGACAAUGAAGAUGGUUUCAUGGUAGAUUGAUCACACAUCUGGAUACGUAGCAUGUA